This 401-nucleotide ribosomal RNA is filed under the name Laelaptidae gen. sp. 2 CS-2020. RNAcentral's name for it is "SSU rRNA". It matches the Rfam family "Eukaryotic small subunit ribosomal RNA", at positions 443 to 858 of the family's 1831-position model. Lineage: Eukaryota; Metazoa; Arthropoda; Arachnida; Mesostigmata; Laelapidae. The record is from RNAcentral.
UUACCCAAUCCCGGCACGGGGAGGUAGUGACAAAAAAUAACAAUGCGGGACUCUUAUGAGGCUUCGUAAUUGGAAUGAGUACAUUCUAAAUCCUUUAACGAGGAACUAUUGGAGGGCAAGUCUGGUGCCAGCAGCCCCGGUAAUUCCAGCUCCAAUAGCGUAUAUUAAAAUUGUUGMGUMUAAAAAGCUMGUAGUUUGAAAACUUGCCUUGGCUUACAAUCGGUCCUUAUGGGCCACCGUUUGUUGAGCGCAAAUAUGGAUGACUGUUUUUGCCGACUUAGUUGUUUGGCUUACAAGAGUUAUCAAAUAUCACUUUGAUUAAAUUAGAGUGCUUAAAGCAAGUGUGUUACUUGGAUAUAAAUGCAUGGAAUGAUGGAAUAUGUUGUUGUUCUAUUUGUUGG